AACGUAGGAGACAAACGUUAUCCGGAGUUACUGGGCGUAAAGGGCGUGUAGGCGGUCUGUUAAGUCUGGCGUGAAAGCUCUCGGCUAAACCGGGAGAGGUCGUUGGAUACUGGCAAACUAGAGGACGGUAGAGGCGUGUGGAAUUCCGGGUGUAGUGGUGAAAUGCGCAGAUAUCAGGAGGAACACCGGUGGCGAAGGCGGGUCUCUGGGCCGAAACUGACGCUGAGGAGCGAAAGCGUGGGGAGCAAACAGG
Molecule: ribosomal RNA, 253 nt
Filed under: uncultured bacterium
Lineage: Bacteria
Description: partial 16S ribosomal RNA
Rfam family: Bacterial small subunit ribosomal RNA
Source: RNAcentral